RNAcentral lists this non-coding RNA (30 nucleotides) under Rattus norvegicus (Norway rat). Lineage: Eukaryota; Metazoa; Chordata; Mammalia; Rodentia; Muridae. The record is from RNAcentral.
UGUCCAAGACCUACACUGCAGAAAGACUGU